GACCAGACUCCUACGGGAGGCAGCAGUGGGGAAUAUUGCACAAUGGGGGAAACCCUGAUGCAGCGACGCCGCGUGAGUGAAGAAGUAUUUCGGUAUGUAAAGCUCUAUCAGCAGGGAAGAAAAUGACGGUACCUGACUAAGAAGCCCCGGCUAACUACGUGCCAGCAGCCGCGGUAAUACGUAGGGGGCAAGCGUUAUCCGGAUUUACUGGGUGUAAAGGGCGUGCAGCCGGAGAGACAAGUCAGAUGUGAAAUCCACGGGCUCAACCCGUGAACUGCAUUUGAAACUGUUUCCCUUGAGUGUCGGAGAGGUAAUCGGAAUUCCUUGUGUAGCGGUGAAAUGCGUAGAUAUUAGGAGGAACACCAGUGGCGAAGGCGGCUUACUGGACUGUAAAUGACGCUGAGGCUCGAAAGCGUGGGGAGCAAACAGGAUUAGAUACCCCCGUACC
This 448-nucleotide ribosomal RNA is filed under the name uncultured bacterium. RNAcentral's name for it is "bacterial SSU rRNA". It matches the Rfam family "Bacterial small subunit ribosomal RNA", at positions 329 to 794 of the family's 1533-position model. The record is from RNAcentral.